RNAcentral lists this non-coding RNA (85 nucleotides) under Alicyclobacillus sp. Its description in RNAcentral is "c-di-GMP sequence". It matches the Rfam family "c-di-GMP-I riboswitch aptamer". Rfam says of the family: GEMM was predicted in a large-scale screen for bacterial structured RNA regulatory elements. Genes associated with GEMM are involved in a diverse array of functions, including chemotaxis regulation, signal transduction, secretion and chitin. The record is from RNAcentral. RNAcentral also lists the same sequence under 1 other name. Lineage: Bacteria; Bacillati; Bacillota; Bacilli; Caryophanales; Alicyclobacillaceae.
UGCGUAUCAAAGCAUACCAAUGGAAACAUUGGGACGCAAAGCUACGGGUCUAAGGGUAUGUGCCUAGGAUCGCCGGGUUGCCGCA